CUGAUGGAGGGGGAUAACUACUGGAAACGGUAGCUAAUACCGCAUAACGUCGCAAGACCAAAGAGGGGGACCUUCGGGCCUCUUGCCAUCGGAUGUGCCCAGAUGGGAUUAGCUAGUAGGUGGGGUAAAGGCUCACCUAGGCGACGAUCCCUAGCUGGUCUGAGAGGAUGACCAGCCACACUGGAACUGAGACACGGUCCAGACUCCUACGGGAGGCAGCAGUGGGGAAUAUUGCACAAUGGGCGCAAGCCUGAUGCAGCCAUGCCGCGUGUAUGAAGAAGGCCUUCGGGUUGUA
This 295-nucleotide ribosomal RNA is filed under the name Escherichia coli. Its description in RNAcentral is "partial 16S ribosomal RNA". It matches the Rfam family "Bacterial small subunit ribosomal RNA", at positions 130 to 427 of the family's 1533-position model. The record is from RNAcentral. Lineage: Bacteria; Pseudomonadati; Pseudomonadota; Gammaproteobacteria; Enterobacterales; Enterobacteriaceae.